Molecule: non-coding RNA, 58 nt
Filed under: unclassified sequences
Description: pemK RNA
Rfam family: pemK RNA
Source: RNAcentral
ACAAUGAUACUUCCAUAUGGGACUGGCGGAGUACCCGGCAGAGGUGAGAUUCCUAUGA